RNAcentral lists this ribosomal RNA (331 nucleotides) under uncultured bacterium. RNAcentral's name for it is "bacterial SSU rRNA". It matches the Rfam family "Bacterial small subunit ribosomal RNA", at positions 568 to 898 of the family's 1533-position model. The record is from RNAcentral.
CGCGUAGGUGGUUUUGUAAGUCAGAUGUGAAAUCCUCCGGCUCAACUGGAGAACAGCAUCUGAAACUGCAGGACUCGAGUACAGAAGAGGGAAACGGAAUUCCCGGUGUAGAGGUGAAAUUCGUAGAUAUCGGGAGGAACACCGGUGGCGAAGGCGGUUUCCUGGUCUGAUACUGACACUGAGGCGCGAAAGCGUGGGGAGCAAACAGGAUUAGAUACCCUGGUAGUCCACGCCGUAAACGGUGAGUACUGGGUGUGGGAGGCGUAAUGCCUUCUGUGCCGAAGCUAACGCGUUAAGUACUCCGCCUGGGGAGUACGGCCGCAAGGUUGAA